AUCAAUCUGACGAGUCCAAAAUAGGACGAAAUGCACAUCCUAGAU
Schistosoma curassoni is the source of this 45-nucleotide non-coding RNA. Lineage: Eukaryota; Metazoa; Platyhelminthes; Trematoda; Strigeidida; Schistosomatidae. The record is from Rfam.